RNAcentral lists this transfer RNA (72 nucleotides) under Camelus bactrianus (Bactrian camel). It matches the Rfam family "tRNA". From Rfam's summary of the family: Transfer RNA (tRNA) molecules are approximately 80 nucleotides in length. RNAcentral also lists the same sequence under 1 other name. Lineage: Eukaryota; Metazoa; Chordata; Mammalia; Artiodactyla; Camelidae. The record is from Rfam by way of RNAcentral.
GAGGGUAUAGCUCAGCAGUAGAGUGCCAGCUUAGCAUGCACGAGGUCCUGGGUUCAAUUCCCAGUACCUCCG